GACGAACGCUGGCGGCGUGCUUAACACAUGCAAGUCGAACGGAAAGGCCCUGCUUUUGUGGGGUGCUCGAGUGGCGAACGGGUGAGUAACACGUGAGUAACCUGCCCUUGACUUUGGGAUAACUUCAGGAAACUGGGGCUAAUACCGGAUAGGAGCUCCUGCUGCAUGGUGGGGGUUGGAAAGUUUCGGCGGUUGGGGAUGGACUCGCGGCUUAUCAGCUUGUUGGUGGGGUAGUGGCUUACCAAGGCUGUGACGGGUAGCCGGCCUGGGAGGGUGACCGGCCACAUUGGGACUGAGAUACGGCCCAGACUCCUACGGGAGGCAGCAGUGGGGAAUAUUGCACAAUGGGCGGAAGCCUGAUGCAGCAACGCCGCGUGCGGGAUGACGGCCUUCGGGUUGUAAACCGCUUUCGCCGGUGACGAAGCGUGAGUGACGGUAAUGGGUAAAGAAGCACCGGCUAACUACGUG
This 468-nucleotide ribosomal RNA is filed under the name uncultured bacterium. RNAcentral describes it as "partial 16S ribosomal RNA". It matches the Rfam family "Bacterial small subunit ribosomal RNA", at positions 28 to 507 of the family's 1533-position model. The record is from RNAcentral.